This 80-nucleotide non-coding RNA is filed under the name unclassified sequences. The record is from Rfam.
GUGUUUUGAAGUAGAGAUCGUGCUGCUACACACCCUUGUGGUCAAAAGAAAUGUGGGAAGGGGCACACCCACCAAAAUGC